This 194-nucleotide ribosomal RNA is filed under the name uncultured Halomonas sp. RNAcentral's name for it is "partial 16S ribosomal RNA". It matches the Rfam family "Bacterial small subunit ribosomal RNA", at positions 338 to 524 of the family's 1533-position model. The record is from RNAcentral. Lineage: Bacteria; Pseudomonadati; Pseudomonadota; Gammaproteobacteria; Oceanospirillales; Halomonadaceae.
CCUACGGGAGGCAGCAGUGGGGAAUAUUGGACAAUGGGCGAAAGCCUGAUCCAGCCAUGCCGCGUGUGUGAAGAAGGCCUUCGGGUUGUAAAGCACUUUCAGUGAGGAAGAAAGCCUUGGGGUUAAUACCCUCGAGGGAGGACAUCACUCACAGAAGAAGCACCGGCUAACUCCGUGCCAGCAGCCGCGGUAAU